Molecule: ribosomal RNA, 732 nt
Filed under: alpha proteobacterium ST1-12
Lineage: Bacteria; Pseudomonadati; Pseudomonadota; Alphaproteobacteria
Description: bacterial SSU rRNA
Rfam family: Bacterial small subunit ribosomal RNA
Source: RNAcentral
AAUAGCUCCUGGAAACGGGUGGUAAUGCCGAAUGUGCCCUUCGGGGGAAAGAUUUAUCGCCUUUAAAGCGGCCCGCGUCUGAUUACUCUAGUUGGUGAGGUAACGGCUCACCAAGGCGACUAUCAGUAGCUGGUCUGAUAGGAUGACCAGCCACACUGGGACUGAUACACGGCCCAAACUCCUACGGGAGGCAUCAGUGGGGAAUCUUGCGCAAUGGGCGAAAGCCUGACGCAACCAUGCCGCGUGAAUGAUGAAGGUCUUAGGAUUGUAAAAUUCUUUCACCGGGGACGAUAAUGACGGUACCCGGAUAAGAAGCCCCGGCUAACUUCGUGCCAGCAGCCGCGGUAAUACGAAGGGGGCUAGCGUUGCUCGGAAUUACUGGGCGUAAAGGGCGCGUAGGCGGAUCGUUAAGUCAGAGGUGAAAUCCCAGGGCUCAGCCCUGGAACUGCCUUUGAUACUGGCGAUCUUGAGUAUGAGAGAGGUAUGUGGAACUCCGAGUGUAGAGGUGAAAUUCGUACAUAUUCGGAAGAACACCAGUGGCGAAGGCGACAUACUGGCUCAUUACUGACGCUGAAGCUCUAAAGCCUGGGGAGCAAACAGGAUUAGAUACCCUGGUAGUCCACGCCGUAAACGAUGAUUGCUAGUUGUCGGGCUGCAUGCAGUUCGGUGACGCAGCUAACGCAUUAAGCAAUCCGCCUGGGGAGUACGGUCGCAAGAUUAAAACUCAAAGGA